AAGAUGCAAAGGAGGAAGAAAAAUGAAAAAGAGGAUAAAGAAACAAAAGCAAAAUGAAAUAAGAGAAAGAGACCAACCUGCUGCAACAUGACAUAGGAGACAAAAACUGUGAUUCCAUAAGAAGCAAAGGUGGCAACCCAAAGAGGAGCCAUCGGCAACCAAAAAAGCUCUCAAAGCAGAGUAGAGAAUCAAAAAGAGAGAAAAAGCUUGGAAGAGUCUGAAAACAUGAAGGAAGAAGGCAAAAAACACCAUCUCCUUUUAUAGGCACAAA
This 271-nucleotide long non-coding RNA is filed under the name Elaeis guineensis (African oil palm). RNAcentral describes it as "long non-coding RNA (EGUI_LNC072339)". The record is from RNAcentral. Lineage: Eukaryota; Viridiplantae; Streptophyta; Magnoliopsida; Arecales; Arecaceae.